Molecule: small RNA, 30 nt
Filed under: Bombyx mori (domestic silkworm)
Lineage: Eukaryota; Metazoa; Arthropoda; Insecta; Lepidoptera; Bombycidae
Description: ovarian small RNA-16646
Source: RNAcentral
GCCCCUGCUCGCGCCCCGCCCCGGGCCUUU